RNAcentral lists this long non-coding RNA (9590 nucleotides) under Ananas comosus (pineapple). RNAcentral describes it as "long non-coding RNA (ACOM_LNC026001)". Lineage: Eukaryota; Viridiplantae; Streptophyta; Magnoliopsida; Poales; Bromeliaceae. The record is from RNAcentral.
GGAGGAUUGGGUGUGUGCGACGAUUUUGCCGCCCAGGGGCUUGAACCAUUGUUCGGCGUGUGCAACGAUUUCGCCGCCAGAUGGUUAAGCAAGUUUGUGGAUCCUACCGCCUGUUGACUGAACCACUGUAGUGGCGUGUGCGACGAUUUCGCCGCCGGGUGGCUAAGUCAUACACCUAGGCCGUUGUUGGGUGAGGUGCGAUCCGUUCGCCGCCAGACGGCUAGGACAGGAGUAGGGUGAGCUGUUGCCAGCUGAGGUGCAUGUGAGAGUUCCUUCACCUCGAGCUAGACAGUGCGCGGACUAUCCGCGAUUGAUUGACUCAAGACCGAGUCGGGUGGCUAGAUGACUAAGGUAAAGUAACCUUAGGAAAGAAUCGCCAGUGAGCACGAUAUGAUAGAGAAUAAAGAAUAACAAUAAAGAAUAGCUAAUGACCGUAAAUAGCUAAUAAAGAACGGCUACAAGUAAAGAAUGGUUAAAGAUAUAAAGUAGGAUCGGUAGAUCUACUUGUUACAUAGUUGCAUGAUUUACAUAUUGCAUAUCGCGAGGCAAGGUAUGGUUUUAUUAAUUGUAUCAUCGAAUAUUUAUCUAUCUGUUCAGUUUACUAACCUGCAGUUGCCUCCUUUGGACCUNGACGGACACGAUGCGAUUUGGGUGAUAAUGGAUCGACUGACGAAGUCGGCUCAUUUCUUACCGAUUCACACUACGUGGUCGGGAGACAAGCUAGCUCAAGUGUAUCUCGACGAGGUUGUGAGACUUCAUGGGAUUCCGGUAUCAAUUGUAUCGGAUCGAAACCCCAGGCUCACAUCCUACUUUUGGAAGAGCCUGCAGGAUGCGCUAGGCACAUGGCUUGACUUUAGCACAGCGUUUCAUCCUCAGAGUGAUGGUCAGUCGGAGCGGACGAUACAAAUCCUUGAGAAUUUACUCCGAGCGUGUGUGCUAGAUUACAAAUGAGGAUGGCAUGAUUUCUUGCCAAUGGUGGAGUUCGCGUAUAAUAACAGUUAUCAAGAGAGCAUCGCGAUGGCGCCAUUUGAGGCACUAUAUGGUCGAAAGUGUCAUUCUCCUAUUCAUUGGAGCGACGUGGGCGAGAGAACGGCUCUUGGCCAGGAUGUAGUGCGGGAGGCGGAGGAGAAAGUCCGCCUUGCCCGUCAACGGUUAGCGACGGCGCAAUCAAGGCAGAAAAGCUAUGCCGACAAGCGAAGAAAGGACUUAGAGUCCGCGGUUGGAGACCGCGUAUUUUUAAAAGUGUCACCAAUGCGAGGAGUCAAGCGUUUUGGGGUCCGCAGGAAGUUAAGUCCCCGUUAUGUUGGACCAUUUGAGAUACUAGAGCGUGUGGGUGCGGUAGCGUGCAAGCUCGCACUACCACUGAGACUCGCGGGAGUUCACAACAUGUUUCAUGUGUCAAAUCUCCGAAAGUAUAUUCGCAACUCGACACAUGUAUUGGAGUACGAGCCCGUGAAGCUACGUGAAGAUAUGACUUAUGAGGAGUACCCAGUGUGCAUCCUCGAUAGAGAAGAAAGAAAGCUACGAAGUCACAGAAUUCCAUAUGUAAAGGUUCAAUGGAGCAAUCAUGCUGUGCGAGAAGCCACUUAGGAGCUCGAAGAAUCAAUGCGGAAGGAGUAUCCGCAUUUAUUUGAGUCGACAAGUUAAGGUAUGCGUAAUUUCGCGGACAAAAUUAUUUUAAGGGGUGAAGAAUGUAAUAUACAAAAAAUUCGAAAAAUAAAUGUCGAACUUUAGUCAAAAUUGACCAAAGUAUGAGGUUGGUACACUUCGGAAAGUCCGAAGGCGUUAAAAUGAGUAAAAGUGCAUUGCGGGAGGUUUUCGAGAGCUAAAGAAUUAAAAAUCUGCAAACUGCAGUUUUUGGACUCUCGGGGACCGGUCCCUGGUAGGAGAGGCCGGUCCUCGAACGCGUGAGAAAUGAGAAAAGCUUAAAAUCGGCUAAGUCCCAGAAAACCAGCUCUCGGGAACCGGUCCCUGCGGGGAUAGACAGGUCCCCGAGAGACCGGUCCCUCUGGGAGAGACUGGUUGCCUCGUGCGAAAGCCCCGCUGAGCUGCGGGAGGGCUCUCUGGAAUCGGUCCCAUGUCGGGGAGACCGGUCCCCGAGCACGAAAACUGCCCAGAUCUGGCAGUUCAAGAGAAUAAAAGCUGAGGGGUUUAUUUGCAAAAAUGCAACCCAUGGGUUAUGUUGAGGGGUUAUGAGGGCUCUUUCUCUCAUUCACACCCUCUCACAAUCUCUCCUCUCUUUCUCUCUCUAGAAGACAAGAAGGAGAAGAAGAAAGGAGAGGAAAAAAAGAGAAGAAGAAGAAGACAAAGGUAGUGGAGAAAAAGACCAAGGAGUGGAGCAACUCUUUCUUCUUCCUCUUUGGAGCAAAGAAAGGGAAAGAUUUUAGAUAAGCUUUGACCCUUUCCAUGGUAAAACCCUAGAAUGAGAACUAAAUGACCUAGGAAUGGUUUUGGUAGAGCCUUUUGGGUAUUUCAAGCUUUCUUUUGCUUGUGGAUGAGAUCAAAACUAUGGAAUGGGUAAAUAUGGUGAAGCUUAGAGGUGAGCUUCAACCUCUCUCAUGGUAGAAUCCAAACUAGAGUUUGGAUUGAGCUAAGAAUGGUUUAAAUGGAACCUUUAGAUGAUUUGAAGCUUACUUUUGCUUCUCUAAGAGAUCAAAACCCUAGUUUUGAUGUGGGAUGAGGUAGGGCACCCAAAUUUGGGGCUUUUGCUUGUGAGGGUUCCAAAGUGAAAUUGAUCCUCUAGAAACCUAAUUGGGAGUAUUUCCGAUGCGUUGGUACGCUCGAAUUGACGUUACGAAAAGCCUAUGUAAAGUUAUGAGCAAAAAAGCCUAAUUUGGCUUCGUUUUGCCGCAGGUAGCGAACUAGGCGGCUAAAAAUCUCGAGAAAAUCACCGUAGCGCCUAAGUAAGCCUACAAGGUGGGUGGUGCUCUCCAAACUUGUUGGAAUUUUUUUUAUAUCUAAUGUGUCACUUCUUGAGCAUACAUAUGUAUAUUGUUGCAUGCAUAGUAGGGUAAUGGAUUAUAAAUAUGUGAAUGUUUGCAGUUUGUGAGUUCAAGUGCAUCAUGAGAUGGUUGAGAAUCAAUGAGAAUGUAAUAACCCUAUAUGUGCAUGUAAAAGAGAUAAGAACUUAGUGAAGUUAAAGAACAAGUGACAUAUGACAUGAGGACAAUGAAAUGUGAGAAUGAAAGCUAAAGAUAGCAAAAAGAUUGACGUAAAGAAUACUAGAGCUAGUGUGUGGCAUCAAAGAGAACAAAUGUGGUAUAAAGAAUGAUAAAAACUAGAGUUAGCAAAUGUGUGGCAAUAAAGAAUGACAAUUGCUAGAGUUAGCAACAAAAUGUGGCAUAAAGAACAAUGACUAGAGAUAGCAAUAAAUGUGUGGCAUAAAGAACACUAGAGUUAGUGUAAAGACGUGAUGAAAGUAAAAAAUGUAAAGAACACUAGAGUUAGUGUAUUGACAUGGUCGAAAAUAAAGAAUGCAAAGAACAUGAGAUUGACACAAUGAUAUUCAACCUUAGAGUUAAAGGUCAUUUGUGCAUAAUUUCUUAGAGUUAAGGAACAGAUUGAACUGAAUAUCCUUAGAGUUAAGGAUUGAUCAUACUCGCUAUAAGUCCUUGCCUGAGGGUGGUCGCUCCCCCUCGGGCGAUGCGCUCCGGAGUUUGUCAUCAUUGGGUUGAGUUACUCAGAGGACGGUCCUAGCGGGAGAAAGCUGAGGGCCCGCGAUCAUGGAUUUUGAGUUGGUGAGUUAAGGAGGCGAUACCUCCGGGUUAGCCUAGAGAUUGAACGAAAGAACAAGAACAAAGAAUAAAGAACAAAGACCAAGCAUUCUUCAUGAGUUAUAUUGAGCACCAUUUUUUAUCACAUUGUUCAGGCAUAUUAGUUACAUUUGUAUAGUUGGCUACUUUUCAGCUUAUUCUUUCUAUUAUGCCUGAGUUAGACCUAGUGGGAAAGUCGGUGAGAUUGGGGUCGAACCCACUGGGAACUUCGUUGUAGUUCUCACCCCACUAUUUCCACAGAGUCGGGACCGAGCGAGCCGGCGAGCGACCGCGGUAAAGGUAUCGCGCCAUAGACAGUGACUACCCGAGUCGGGUUUACAUUUUGUAGUAGCAUUCCCGUACUUCAUCUUUGUGUUUGAUGGGUUGAGAUGUAAAAGAAAAAGAAUGUAAUGUUUAUCUCGAGGAGAAUGUGAUGUUAAAAGAAAUGAUGAAAAGUAUGUAAAGAACUACGAAUGUACAUGUUAAAUGCAAUGUAUGUGAUCAAAAGAGAAUCAUAGUACUUGUGUAGAUAUUUAGUUUCCUUUCUUUCACUCAUGGCUAUUGCUUACCCUCGUGUAAGCCGUUUGUGUAUGUUUCCGCUAGUGCUUUUCUCUGCUCGAAAAUGUACAGGUGAUGAGCCUUGGGCGGGGAGGAAAAACUCUGUCCGUUCGAUGUCUGUUUGACGUGCCCGGGCCGGCCCAAAUUGGUAUCGGUCUCGGGGCGUGACAUUUGACCUCACCGAAAUCGGUGGACUCCUCCUAUGUCUUCCUUAUGGUUUUAAGAUAUAUUUAUAUGCUUAUUCAUGCUCAAUAUGACAUGCUAGAAUUUAUGAAAACAUAAUACAUACAUGUUAUAUAUAGUAAAAUUUAAUGCUCUAUGUAGUAGAGGCAUACAUGUGGACAUGUACAUGAACUAGCAAUACUUGAUGAUUUUCUCUCUUAUGCAACCAUAGAAAGCAUGUUAGAGUAUGAAUGAUUGUAUAACUCUUUGGGGAUACCUAGUGAAUGGGUUAAAUAAGUGGUUAACUUACAUGAUGACAAUACUAUACUUGUUAUAGACAAGGUGAUUGGAACUUAGCAUUACUUGCAUGAUAAUAGUAUACUUGUUGUAGACAAGGUAAUUGCGACAUUGUGACAUAGUGCAUGAUAAGGUCUUCAGGAAGCUAAACUUGGUGCAUUCAACCUAGUUGAACAACUUGAAUUUGACAUUAUGACAUAAUAUCCGAUAUAAAGAUAUAGAUUAAAUUCCAUGUUUUAGACAUGAGGAAAUGAGAUUACAAAGUCUUUGGGGUAAACCCCAAUAGGGAUAAUUGCAUAUUAUACUAGUGGAAUGAAACUACUUGCAUCAUAAUGCUUCUACUCCAUGUAGUGGGGAUGUUAGUGGAAAGAUGUAUGCAUGACAUGCAUUGUGGUAAUUGUGGACAUAUCAUAACUCUUUUGCAUAUAACAUUAGUAAAUGUUUCACUUGACAAUUAUUGUAAUUGCAUGUUGAAAAUCUACUUGGAGACUUGAAUAAAAUAGUGAACUAUUCUAGGUAGGAUAAUGACAUACGGACUAUGCUUGCUUUAGGCAUUAUAUGUGUUGGUAGAGACAUACCACCCAAGUAGUUGUAAACAAGACAAGAUAUGAUAUAAAUAAUCUAGUACCCGACUGUCGAGUCGAUGUGUGAAAAUUCUAUGUUUUAGACAUGAUGAUUGAGUAUCCCAAAUUGUGGACCCUAUGCUAGGAUCACGCUUGUUUGUCCUUGUGCUCAUUCGCACAUACUUAUGAGGGUCGCUCUCUACAAGCCGGCUCUCCGGAGUUUAUCUUACGACGAUAGAUCGCCCGUGCGGGAUUAGGCACCGAAGUGGGAUGCCAUGGCUAGUGUCUCUUUUCUUGCAGGGAAAAUGACGACCACCACGGGGCCACUAAGGCACGGCACGAGCCCGGAUGUUACCACAUGUACGUUUCUUGUAAAUUGAGUAUUGAGACUUAACUUGACAUUGUACAUCACCAUAGUUGAUGCAUACAUAGUAGAUGUUCAUACUUGUGGUUUGCUAUCUUAUUUUACUACUUGAUGCAUUCAUAGUAGUUGGACAUUUUGUGGGACAUUAUAACAUUGACAACUUUAGUGGUAGUAAACCUACACUUAUAUGGUUUAGUAUAAUGCAUGGCUAGAAUUGUAAAGAAAAGCAUACUUUACUUUUUGUAGCAUAAUGGAUAUAUUGAACAUGCAUGUAAAUUGACAUUGGCAUAUAGUUGAUUGUGCAUGUAAAUUGACAUUGGCAUAUAGUUGAUUGUGCAUGUAAAUCGACAUUGGCAUAUAAUUGAUCAUAUGAAAUUAGAAUAUCAUGUACUUGAUAGUAAAUCCUUCAGUAGAGGCAUGACUAUGAAAUGAACAUGUUUAUUUACUUGUCAUUUAUAUAUGUUGUCUACUUACCCCUUUAUAGCAUGCCUCAGUUGACCUAGUGGUGUAUUUCACCACUUUCGGCGGCUUACCCACGAGGAACUAUUGUUUAAUAGUUCUCACCCCAAUUUGUUGUUGGUUUUUAUUUCAGAGCCUUCCGCGGCGGGAGAGACUAGGGAUCGUAGCAAGGGGUUAGCGACAAGCUAGAGCCCUACGAAGAUAUUUAGAUGAACCCGAUGUCAUCUUUCUUUUUGUAUUUGUGGAAAGAUGUAUUAUGUAUUUGAUUUAGAGAUAUUGUUAGACUUUUGGAUUUAGUCGUAUACUUUUUGUAUAUCUUGUGGAUCUCUUUGUGAUAGAUCAUUAGUGAUUUUUUAUUACUCGUUCUUAUAGCCUUAUUAGGACUUGAUCUUGUUCAUUCUUGUGUUAGUAGACGCCUUAUAUAUACAAGGACACGUUAAAGGAGUCGCUCUCAAACGCAUAUUGGUUGAUCCAGGAUCUGCAAUUAACAUACUUCCGCUUCAAACAUUGCGAGUAUUAGGGCAUUCGGUUGAUGAUCUUGAACUAGAAAAUGUCGUUAUUUCAGGGUUUAAUAAGUCUGAUGAACAUACCUUGGGUUCAAUCCGGUUAAUGCUCUCUUUACAAGAGCUAAAAACACUGAUGAGAUUUUAUGUUAUUGAUGUCGACACCUCUUACACAAUGUUACUAGGGCGACCCUGGAUCCCUGAGUUUCAAAUUGUGCCCUCGAUUCUUCAUCAAUGCCUCAAGUACAAAGAUGAACACGGCCGACAAAAGAGAAUUUCUAGGAAUCCGAACCCUUUCUCUUGGAAACUUUCCCAUUAUUCUGAUGCUCAAUUCUUUUUAGAAGCUGCUCCAUCAUCUUCAAGGUUAGCUUUUAAUCUAAACAAAAAGAAAUAUGCCAACAUUCCACCUCCAGCAAUUAAUAUGAUCAAUGCUAGCUCAUUUCGAACCUUUCAGCAAGAGAAAAAUGUUAAACGUGAUUGUCGCCAAAAUCUUAAUGAUCCCAUUUUAUUGGGGAGUGACUUCGAGGAUGAGAGUAGUACACAUUUUCAAACAAUGGCAAUUUUUGUGUCAAAAGUCCCGAUGAGCUACAAAAUUUUUCAUUCCCUCUUUCAAGUCGAAUGUCAACAACCAUAGAAGAUGUUUGUGUUCGAGUUAUCCGUUUGACUAUACCGGGGUGCAAACCUAUAUUGCUUUACAAGACUUCUAAAGAUGUGAGGUAUUCUGAACCCUUUCCAUUAGAAGAGGAUGAGGAAAUGUCAACAGUCGCCAUUGUAACAUACCAGAUUUUGGUAUAAAAAAAAAAAAUAAAAAUAGUGUGAGAAGCUAUUUUUAUUGGAUUUAAAGAAGUAAAAUAUAAGUCAGAAAUGACUUGUGCUGAAAUCGGAAUGAAAACAGAAGAUUUAGAAUUUUCUGUUGGAAACGGGCCAGACAAAUUAGCAGAAAAUGCACAGUCUCAGAAAAUUAUGAAAAUUGGAGGAUAAGUUAGAAAUAUUUUUAUGAGGUUAGAUUUAAAGUUUCAUAUUUUUCUGACACCCGUAGAGUGAGAAAUAAAAUCCGACAGCUAUCUGAUAAAGAUUACAGUUCGGUACAGUUUUCAGUGACCAAACAGGGUCGAAACUGAAAAAUUAAGAUAUAUUCUUACUCAGUACAUUAAACCGAGCCUGUCUGUUAAAUUUGAGCCCAAACGGACAUUCAGAAGGGCUCCAACUGUUCCGAACUGCUAAACUGCCCUAGAGUGAAUAGUGUUUUGGGGUGUAAUGUAUAAAGAAGCUUUUGCUUCUUCUCCUUCAGCCGACCACCAUGCACGCCACCACCAACCCGCAUACAUGGUGGGGAGAGAGAAAGCUCCUUUCUCUCUCUAGAUUUCUCUCUCAUUUUUCUAUAUUUCUCGCUCAAAUUCGCGGGGUUGGUGGAGAUGAUGCUUGCGAACGCGUUGGGAGCGAUGGAUCGAGCUUUUGCGCGGCCGUUGGAGCGGCGUGUUCUCGUCGUGGCGUUCACAUUGAGGUAAGCUUUUGAGAUUUGGCUUAAUCCUUUAUGCUUAGUGUUCUAAUAGCCUCUAAUGUGUUGAUUAGCAUGUUGAAUCCAUUUAAUUUGGGUUAAUUGGAGCAUGUGUAGAGGCUAGGCUUUUAAAAAUGGUAGAACCUUAGAGCUUUAAUUAUAUGCUCUAGGAAUGGGUUUAGAGGACUCUCUAUAUGAUAUCUACAUGCUAAUUGCUUAAAUCAUGAAUCAAUUUUGAAGCUUAUUACAAUAGUAGCAUGUUAGGGCUCCAAUUUUGGGGUUUUAUAAAAUGUAUGGGUUUGAUCUAAAUUGACCCUAUAUAAACCUAAUUGCUAGGUAAGCGAACGCGUUGGCAAAGUCGGUUCGGCGAUUCGUCGAGCCGUUGCGAAGUUAUUAAAGAAACGGACGUUUAGGCUUCGUUUUCGCCUGGAGGGCCGAGGCGACAUCGUAUACUCAUGAAAACGGAUUUGAAGCAUCGUGGCACAUAACCAAAGACCUUUAAUUUUCGGAUCGUGAAUUGGAGGCCGUUCGGGUUGUCGCGAGAGAGAUCGGGCCAAACCGGGUGCCGAGUGCCGCGGGAGGCCGAUUGCAAGUGUCGACAAGCAAUUGGAAUGCGAAAUGAGGUGGGUUGUGCUCACCGAAGCGACUAGGUCGCCUAUAUGUCUAAGAGUAAUGGUUUUCUAAUUGAUGCAUAUAGUCGAUGUUACUUACUGUUGAGAUAAAAUGCAUAAUGACAUAUAAUGUGUUAAAUGCUAGAUGAAUGCAUGAGUUAAUUGUUACAUGAAUGCAUGAAAAUAAUGUUAUAGUAAUAUGUUAGAGGUAAUAUGCAUGUUGAUAAAUUAUGGAACAUGUUGGAUGGCAUAUGAAUGGUUGGCAUAUAUAUGUAGACAUAUUGUGGAAUAUGAUGAAUGAGUGCAUGUUGAUUUAUUGUAGAAUAUACUAGAUGAAUGUAUAUUGACAUAUUGUGGAUUAUGUUAAAUGACACAUGCAUGUUGAACUUGGGUCGAUAAACUCUAGGUGAAUUAGAGAACUCGACAUUGGAAAACAAUGACAUAUGAACUAUGAUAUGUGACGUGGACAAUCUAUAUAUAUUAGAUCGAGUGGCAUAUGAUUAGUAUAGUGGAAACACUUAUGGCAUGUUGAACACUUAGAAAACAAGUGUGGCGUGAGUCCAAGAAUAUAGUAGUGUAUAUGACACAAGUGAUAGUAAAGAAUGAUGGAAAUAAUGACAUUUCAACCCUAGAGUUAGGGUCAUUUGAGCAUAGUCUUCCUAAAGUUAAGGAAUGAAUUGAACUCGACAUCUUCAAGAUUUUGGAUUUGAUCAUUGAUCAUACUCACCUUUAGUCCUUGCUCGAGGUUGUGGUAGCUCCCCCUCGGGCGAUGUGCUCCGGAGUCGACAUCACUGGGUUGUAGCGGUUAUCUCCCCAGAGGACG